This 300-nucleotide ribosomal RNA is filed under the name uncultured bacterium. Its description in RNAcentral is "bacterial SSU rRNA". It matches the Rfam family "Bacterial small subunit ribosomal RNA", at positions 505 to 793 of the family's 1533-position model. The record is from RNAcentral.
GUGCCAGCAGCCGCGGUAAUACGGAGGGUGCGAGCGUUAAUCGGAAUUACUGGGCGUAAAGACGCAUGCAGGUGGUUUGUUUAAGUUCAGAUGUGAAAGACCCGGGGCGUCAACCUCGGAAUAGCAUUUGAAACUAGGCAGACUAGAGUACUGUAGAGGGGGGUAGGAAGUUUCUAGGUGUAGCGGUGAAAUAGCGUAGAGAUCUGAAGGAAUACCGGUGGCGAAGGCGGCCCCCUCGGACAGAUACUGACACUCAGAUGCGAAAGCGUGGGGAGCAAACAGGAUUAGAUACCCUGGUAG